AGAGUUUGAUCAUGGCUCAGAACGAACGCUGGCGGCGUGGAUAAGACAUGCAAGUCGAGCGCUGAUUAAGGGGUAGCAAUAUCUCUUAGUCGGAGCGGCGCAAGGGUGCGUAACACGUGGGUAAUUUGCCAUGAAGUUGGGGAUAACUCGCUGAAAGGCGAGCUAAUACCGAAUAUGGCCCGAUGGAGGCAUCUCUGUUUGGCUAAAGCUGGGGACCGAAAGGCCUGGCGCUACAUGAUAAACCCGCGGCCUAUCAGCUAGUUGGUGAGGUAACGGCCCACCAAGGCUAAGACGGGUAGCUGGUCUGAGAGGACGACCAGCCACACUGGAACUGAGACACGGUCCAGACACCUACGGGUGGCAGCAGUCGAGAAUUUUUCACAAUGGGGGAAACCCUGAUGGAGCGACGCCGCGUGGGGGAUGAAUGGCUUCGGCCCGUAAACCCCUGUCAUUUGCGAACAAACCUUUUCGUUUAACAGGCGAAAAGCUGAUUGUAGCGGAAGAGGAAGGGACGGCUAACUCUGUGCCAGCAGCCGCGGUAAUACAGAGGUCCCAAGCGUUGUUCGGAUUCACUGGGCGUAAAGGGCGCGUAGGUGGUUGGGUAAGUUUGAUGUGAAAUCUCGGAGCUUAACUCCGAAACUGCAUUGAAUACUAUCCAGCUUGAGGUUCGGAGGGGGGACUGGAAUUCUCGGUGUAGCAGUGAAAUGCGUAGAUAUCGAGAGGAACACCAGUGGCGAAGGCGAGUCCCUGGACGACACCUGACACUGAGGCGCGAAAGCUAGGGGAGCAAACAGGAUUAGAUACCCUAGUAGUCC
RNAcentral lists this ribosomal RNA (815 nucleotides) under uncultured bacterium. RNAcentral describes it as "bacterial SSU rRNA". It matches the Rfam family "Bacterial small subunit ribosomal RNA", at positions 8 to 796 of the family's 1533-position model. The record is from RNAcentral.